GGUCCGACUUUGAUCCUGGCUCAGGACGAACGCUGGCGGCGUGCCUAACACAUGCAAGUCGAGCGGAGACAGGGAGUAGCUUGCUAUGAGCUGUUUUAGCGGCGGACGGGUGAGUAACGCGUGAGCAACCUUUCCCAGACAGGGGAAUAACACACCGAAAGGUGUACUAAUACCGCAUAAGACCACGGGAUCACAUGGUUCUGAGGUAAAAGAUUUAUCGGUUUGGGGUGGGCUCGCGUCCGAUUAGGUAGUUGGUGAGGUAACGGCCCACCAAGCCGACGAUCGGUAGCCGACCUGAGAGGGUGAUCGGCCACAUUGGGACUGAGACACGGCCCAAACUCCUACGGGAGGCAGCAGUGGGGAAUAUUGGGCAAUGGAGGAAACUCUGACCCAGCAACGCCGCGUGGAGGAAGAAGGUUUUCGGAUCGUAAACUCCUGUCCUUGGAGACGAGUAGAAGACGGUAUCCAAGGAGGAAGCCCCGGCUAACUACGUGCCAGCAGCCGCGGUAAUACGUAGGGGGCAAGCGUUGUCCGGAAUAAUUGGGCGUAAAGGGCGCGUAGGCGGCUCGGUAAGUCUGGAGUGAAAGUCCUGCUUUUAAGGUGGGAAUUGCUUUGGAUACUGUCGGGCUUGAGU
RNAcentral lists this ribosomal RNA (634 nucleotides) under uncultured bacterium. Its description in RNAcentral is "bacterial SSU rRNA". It matches the Rfam family "Bacterial small subunit ribosomal RNA", at positions 1 to 647 of the family's 1533-position model. The record is from RNAcentral.